GUGAACGCGAUGACGAACAUGGGCGAUGCCCGAAGUAGGAGAUAGGCCGCUGCUGCAGAGAGUCGGUGGAUGGUGCAAACCGAUGCAUGCUUAUAUGCCGAAUUACAGUUCUGAGUUGGUGAGGGGAAAGUGCGCUAUAUGGGCAUUAGUAGCUUACACCCGGCAAUUUAUUGUCGUUAAAUUUCUAAGUGAAAGAGAAGCUGCAUGCCUAUUGGCGCGCAAUCCGCUCUCUUUAAUUAGGGUGGUACCGCGAGACAAUCUCUCGUCCCUUUG
This 273-nucleotide non-coding RNA is filed under the name Paenibacillus pectinilyticus. RNAcentral's name for it is "T-box sequence". It matches the Rfam family "T-box leader". From Rfam's summary of the family: Uncharged tRNA acts as the effector for transcription antitermination of genes in the T-box leader family. T-boxes are found upstream of many aminoacyl-tRNA synthetase genes and some amino acid biosynthetic genes usually in Gram-positive bacteria. The record is from RNAcentral. Lineage: Bacteria; Bacillati; Bacillota; Bacilli; Caryophanales; Paenibacillaceae.